GGGUAUGGCUGUUCGCCAUUUAAAGUGGUACGCGAGCUGGGUUUAGAACGUCGUGAGACAGUUCGGUCCCUAUCUGCCGUGGGCGCUGGAGAAUUGAGGGGGGCUGCUCCUAGUACGAGAGGACCGGAGUGGACGCAUCACUGGUGUUCGGGUUGUCAUGCCAAUGGCACUGCCCGGUAGCUAAAUGCGGAAGAGAUAAGUGCUGAAAGCAUCUAAGCACGAAACUUGCCCCGAGAUGAGUUCUCCCUGAGACCUUGAGUCUCCUGAAGGAACGUUAAAGACUAUGACGUUGAUAGGUCGGGUGUGUAAGCGCAGCGAUGCGUUGAGCUAACCGAUACUAAUGAACCGUGAGGCUUAACCUU
RNAcentral lists this ribosomal RNA (362 nucleotides) under Enterobacter hormaechei. Its description in RNAcentral is "partial 23S ribosomal RNA". It matches the Rfam family "Bacterial large subunit ribosomal RNA", at positions 2569 to 2925 of the family's 2925-position model. The record is from RNAcentral. Lineage: Bacteria; Pseudomonadati; Pseudomonadota; Gammaproteobacteria; Enterobacterales; Enterobacteriaceae.